This 76-nucleotide transfer RNA is filed under the name Verrucomicrobiaceae bacterium. Its description in RNAcentral is "tRNA-Cys". It matches the Rfam family "tRNA". From Rfam's summary of the family: Transfer RNA (tRNA) molecules are approximately 80 nucleotides in length. Lineage: Bacteria; Pseudomonadati; Verrucomicrobiota; Verrucomicrobiia; Verrucomicrobiales; Verrucomicrobiaceae. The record is from RNAcentral.
AGCGACGUGGCGUGAAUGGAUAACCACAAGCCCGCAAGGUUUGGUCACGUAGGUUCGAAUCCUACCGUCGCUGCCA